GAUGAACGCUAGCGGGAGGCCUAACACAUGCAAGCCGAGCGGUAUUGUUUCUUCGGAAAUGAGAGAGCGGCGUACGGGUGCGUAACACGUGUGCAACCUGCCUUUAUCUGGGGGAUAGCCUUUCGAAAGGAAGAUUAAUACUCCAUAACAUAUUGAACGGCAUCGUUUAAUAUUGAAAGCUCCGGCGGAUAGAGAUGGGCACGCGCAAGAUUAGCUAGUUGGUGAGGUAACAGCUCACCAAGGCGAUGAUCUUUAGGGGGCCUGAGAGGGUGAUCCCCCACACUGGUACUGAGACACGGACCAGACUCCUACGGGAGGCAGCAGUGAGGAAUAUUGGUCAAUGGGUGCAAGCCUGAACCAGCCAUCCCGCGUGAAGGACGACUGCCCUAUGGGUUGUAAACUUCUUUUGUAUAGGGAUAAACCUACCCUCGUGAGGGUAGCUGAAGGUACUAUACGAAUAAGCACCGGCUAACUCCGUGCCAGCAGCCGCCGUAA
This 495-nucleotide ribosomal RNA is filed under the name uncultured bacterium. RNAcentral's name for it is "partial 16S ribosomal RNA". It matches the Rfam family "Bacterial small subunit ribosomal RNA", at positions 28 to 523 of the family's 1533-position model. The record is from RNAcentral.